GAUUUACUUCGGUAAUGACGUUAGGAAAGCGAGCGGCGGAUGGGUGAGUAACACGUGGGGAACCUGCCCCAUAGUCUGGGAUACCACUUGGAAACAGGUGCUAAUACCGGAUAAGAAAGCAGAUCGCAUGAUCAGCUUUUAAAAGGCGGCGUAAGCUGUCGCUAUGGGAUGGCCCCGCGGUGCAUUAGCUAGUUGGUAAGGUAAAGGCUUACCAAGGCGAUGAUGCAUAGCCGAGUUGGGAGACUGAUCGGCCACAUUGGGACUGAGACACGGCCCAAACUCCUACGGGAGGCAGCAGUAGGGAAUCUUCCACAAUGGACGCAAGUCUGAUGGAGCAACGCCGCGUGAGUGAAGAAGGUUUUCGGAUCGUAAAGCUCUGUUGUUGGUGAAGAAGGAUAGAGGUAGUAACUGGCCUUUAUUUGACGGUAAUCAACCAGAAAGUCACGGCUAACUACGUGCCAGCAGCCGCGGUAAUACGUAGGUGGCAAGCGUUGUCCGGAUUUAUUGGGCGUAAAGCGAGCGCAGGCGGAAGAAUAAGUCUGAUGUGAAAGCCCUCGGCUUAACCGAGGAACUGCAUCGGAAACUGUUUUUCUUGAGUGCAGAAGAGGAGAGUGGAACUCCAUGUGUAGCGGUGGAAUGCGUAGAUAUAUGGAAGAACACCAGUGGCGA
This 669-nucleotide ribosomal RNA is filed under the name uncultured Bacilli bacterium. RNAcentral's name for it is "bacterial SSU rRNA". It matches the Rfam family "Bacterial small subunit ribosomal RNA", at positions 68 to 718 of the family's 1533-position model. The record is from RNAcentral. Lineage: Bacteria; Bacillati; Bacillota; Bacilli.